AGAGUUUGAUCAUGGCUCAGGACGAACGCUGGCGGCGUGCCUAACACAUGCAAGUCGAGCGGGGUAUAGCAAUAUACCUAGCGGCGGACGGGUGAGUAACACGUGGGUAACCUGCCCUGCAGAGAGGGAUAGCCAUCCGAAAGGAUGAUUAAUACCACAUAACCCAUAUCCAUGGCAUCAUGGAUAUGGCAAAGAUUUAUCGCUGCAGGAUGGACCCGCGGCCCAUUAGCUAGUUGGUGAGAUAACAGCCCACCAAGGCGACGAUGGGUAGCCGAUCUGAGAGGAUGACCGGCCACAUUGGAACUGAGACACGGCCCAGACUCCUACGGGAGGCAGCAGUGGGGAAUUUUGGACAAUGGGGGCAACCCUGAUCCAGCAAUGCCGCGUGUGUGAAGAAGGCCUUCGGGUUGUAAAGCACUUUUGUUCGGGAAGAAAUCCUUCUGGCUAAUAUCCGGAAGGGAUGACGGUACCGGAAGAAUAAGCACCGGCUAACUACGUGCCAGCAGCCGCGGUAAUACGUAGGGUGCAAGCGUUAAUCGGAAUUACUGGGCGUAAAGCGUGCGCAGGCGGUUGUGCAAGACAGAGGUGAAAUCCCCGGGCUUAACCUGGGAACUGCCUUUGUGACUGCACGGCUAGAGUGUGUCAGAGGGGGGUAGAAUUCCACGUGUAGCAGUGAAAUGCGUAGAUAUGUGGAGGAAUACCGAUGGCGAAGGCAGCCCCCUGGGAUAACACUGACGCUCAUGCACGAAAGCGUGGGGAGCAAACAGGAUUAGAUACCCUGGUAGUCCACGCCCUAAACGAUGACAACUAGUUGUCGGGGAUUAAUUUCCUUGGUAACGCAGCUAACGCGUGAAGUUGACCGCCUGGGGAGUACGGUCGCAAGAUUAAAACUCAAAGGAAUUGACGG
Molecule: ribosomal RNA, 907 nt
Filed under: uncultured bacterium
Lineage: Bacteria
Description: bacterial SSU rRNA
Rfam family: Bacterial small subunit ribosomal RNA
Source: RNAcentral